CCUACGGGAGGCUGCAGUGAGGAAUAUUGGUCAAUGGGCGGAAGCCUGAACCAGCCAAGUAGCGUGCGGGAUGAAGGCCCUACGGGUCGUAAACCGCUGUUGCACGGGGAUAACACCCUCCACUUGUGGAGGUCUGCAGGUACCGUGCGAAUAAGGGCCGGCUAAUUCCGUGCCAGCAGCCGCGGUAAUACGGAAGGCCCGAGCGUUAUCCGGAUUCAUUGGGCUUAAAGGGAGCGUAGGCGGGCGUUCAAGUCAGCUGUAAAAGCGCGCGGCUCAACCGCGCCCCGCAGUUGAAACUGGACGCCUUGAGUUCACGACAGGCAGGCGGAAUUCGUGGUGUAGCGGUGAAAUGCAUAGAUAUCACGAGGAACCCCGAUUGCGAAGGCAGCCUGCCGGGGUGCGACUGACGCUGAGGCUCGAAGGUGCGGGUAUCAAACAGGAUUAGAUACCCCUGUAGUC
Molecule: ribosomal RNA, 459 nt
Filed under: uncultured bacterium
Lineage: Bacteria
Description: partial 16S ribosomal RNA
Rfam family: Bacterial small subunit ribosomal RNA
Source: RNAcentral